GUCAAUAAAUGGCUAAUAGUAUCUGAACUCAGAUUAUACCCAAACUUGGUCAUGCCAGCUUGUGCUAAUAAUAUCUCAAGCAUGUUCUACAUAUUAAAUAUAAUAAACAUUAACCCAUUUUUAAGCAAAAUAUAUAUUUAUUCAUUAUCUUUAAUGAUAAUAUUUGAUUUCUAUAUCUCUAUCAAUCUUAUUUUAAAGAAGUGAAAAAUCCUUAGAUACAGUUAUUUUGCGGUGUAAGUAAAGUCAUUAGAGUAUUGGCUUAUAUCCUUGCCCAGACUC
Molecule: long non-coding RNA, 279 nt
Filed under: Phoenix dactylifera (date palm)
Lineage: Eukaryota; Viridiplantae; Streptophyta; Magnoliopsida; Arecales; Arecaceae
Description: long non-coding RNA (PDAC_LNC002764)
Source: RNAcentral